AUUGAACGCUGGCGGCAUGCCUUACACAUGCAAGUCGAACGGCAGCACGGGUGCUUGCCCCUGGUGGCGAGUGGCGAACGGGUGAGUAAUACAUCGGAACAUGUCCUGUAGUGGGGGAUAGCCCGGCGAAAGCCGGAUUAAUACCGCAUACGAUCUACGUAUGAAAGCGGGGGACCUUCGGGCCUCGCGCUAUAGGGUUGGCCGAUGGCUGAUUAGCUAGUUGGUGGGGUAAAGGCCUACCAAGGCGACGAUCAGUAGCUGGUCUGAGAGGACGACCAGCCACACUGGGACUGAGACACGGCCCAGACUCCUACGGGAGGCAGCAGUGGGGAAUUUUGGACAAUGGGCGAAAGCCUGAUCCAGCAAUGCCGCGUGUGUGAAGAAGGCCUUCGGGUUGUAAAGCACUUUUGUCCGGAAAGAAAUCCUUGGCCCUAAUACGGUCGGGGGAUGACGGUACCGGAAGAAUAAGCACCGGCUAACUACGUG
RNAcentral lists this ribosomal RNA (486 nucleotides) under uncultured bacterium. RNAcentral describes it as "partial 16S ribosomal RNA". It matches the Rfam family "Bacterial small subunit ribosomal RNA", at positions 30 to 507 of the family's 1533-position model. The record is from RNAcentral.